Poecilia reticulata (guppy) is the source of this 1858-nucleotide long non-coding RNA. RefSeq lists it as uncharacterized. NCBI's taxonomy places the organism in Eukaryota, Metazoa, Chordata, Actinopteri, Cyprinodontiformes, Poeciliidae. The record is from RefSeq and is a predicted model, not a curated record.
GCGUGUGUGUGCGUGUGUUUGUGUGUGUGUGGUGUUUGCGCUGAUCCAACAGGCCUUCGUCCUGGUAUGUCAAAUCCUUGAAUCCUUGGAUGGAGUAAAGAGAAGGAGACUGUAGGGUGUGCGUGUUUAUGUGUGUGUAUUCUAUGUACUGUAUGUGUGUGCUGAAGCCAAGGCGGAUGUUUUCUGAGCUCAGCAGCCGUGUCGGAGUGAGGACACGGAGAGAGAGGGAGAGACUACCAAACAGAAAUCCUGCAACAGCGAAAGAAGAGCAGCCUACGCAAAGAACAAUUACCGCAGCGACCUGUCUUGGCUUCUUCGUAAUAGAUCCUGGAGCUCCUUUGAGCUAAUUCACACGAGGACGGGUAGCAGAGGCUCCGUGGUUGGAGAUGAACUCCACGGACAUCAAAGCCGCUUCUACAGCAGCGCCACAAGGAGAGUUUAGAGUCUGGAGUAAUUAAUGCUGGCACACAGAGACGUCUCUGUCCAAAGCUGCUGGGAGAGAACAGGGGCUUUGGUGGAAAUACAUAUCCCACCUGUGGGGUGGUGCGGUGAUUAGUGCUAUCACCUCACAGCAAGAAGUUCCCCGCUUCAGACCUCGGCUUCAGCACAGCGCUUCAAUCAAAACAGGAUGCAAAACAGAAGCCAUUUUCCCAUUGUGUGGACGUUCCAGGAUGGCAGGAGAUCUCCAUGAAUAUGACCUGAAAUUGCGCGCCGCUGGCCAGUGAGUCUCCUGGUGAGAGCUGACCUUUCUCCUGAAGGAGAGACGGAGCGAGAGGCGGCAAAUGAAGCGAGAGGAGGAGUGAUGGGGCUAAAUGAGUGAAUGAUAAUUCACUGGGAUCGACAGAUAAUUGUAGGAGAGAGAUGCAUGAUGUCGGGAUGGGCGGUGAAGUGAAUGAGAGACGUGGUAAUGUGUUUGCGUGUGUUGAGCAUCACACUUGGUAAAAUUUGAAGAAAAGGAGGAGUGUGUGUGUGUGGAGGGGGGCUGCCAUAUGCUCAUUGUAAAGUGUGUGUGUGUGUGGGGUGAACUGAUGGCAAAUAGAGAUAUUUGGAGCGUUUGUCUUGGCAUCACACUGGGAGAGGCUGUCUGCUUCUGUGCAUUAUGACAUCAAUGGUUUACCCUCAAAAAAAUUACACACACACACGCGCACUAAAGCACAACAGUGAGUACAGCUGGUUAAUACACAGUUGCUGCUUGGCUACACCCAAAGCAUGCAUUUACAUGAAAAUGCACACAUGAUUGCAAGCUGCAGGUGUAUGGCACUUAGAAACGCACACACACACACUUCUUGCUGCAGUCCUCGGUAUACACGCAAAUUUACACACAUCGUCAAAUGCAAACGCACUCAAGUGGAGCGAAAAGAAAACCUGUUAACACUCUCAGAGGGAAACGUGCUAGACGCUGAAGUACUUGGGAACAAAUUGUAGAGUGGUUACACAGAACUAUGCAUGUUUAAAAUUCUGUGCGGGAGAUUUUAAGCUGAAUGCAUACUGACCCGCUGGGACUUAAAAACGGGGAGCGAAAGAGGAAGAAGGAUCCUCAGAGUGAUAAAAACCAAAAGCUGGAGAUGGUUUAGCGAUAUAAAAAAUAUAUUUUUACAGCAAAUUAACAAUAUCUGGAACUUAGCUUUGAGAAGUAAGUGAAAUAACACAAGACCAGAGAGGAGGACUCUAUUGAGUUCACCCCAUGGUUCUUUGAAAACCAACUUACUGGUCCUGAGAUGCUAUUUUCUGUCUUUAAAACCGUUACCUUUAUUAGUUAAGCUAAAAAAAUGGGGGAAAUGAGCCUCAAAAGAUCAAAUCUCUAACUGUUCUCUUCAUAAAGUUUUGCAGAUGUAUCUAUUUUACCCGUUUCAUCUGA